This 492-nucleotide ribosomal RNA is filed under the name uncultured bacterium. Its description in RNAcentral is "partial 16S ribosomal RNA". It matches the Rfam family "Bacterial small subunit ribosomal RNA", at positions 29 to 507 of the family's 1533-position model. The record is from RNAcentral.
AGCGAACGCUGGCGGUAGGCCUAACACAUGCAAGUCGUACGGCAGCACAGUAAGAGCUUGCUCUUACGGGUGGCGAGUGGCGUACGGGUGAGGAAUACAUCGCAAUCUACUUUUUCGUGGGGGAUAACGUAGGGAAACUUCCGCUAAUGCGGCAUACGACCUACGGGUGAAAUCAGGGGAUCUUCCGACCUUGCGCGAUUGAAUGAGCCGUUGGCUGGUUAGUUGGGUGGCGGGGUAAAGGCCCACCAAGGCGACGAUCCGUUGCUGGUGUGAGAGGCUGAUCAGCGACACUGGGACUGAGACACGGUCCAGACUCCUACGGGAGGCAGCAGUGGGGAAUAUUGGACAAUGGGCGCAAGCCUGAUCCAGCCAUACCGGGUGGGUGAAGAAGGCCUUCGGGUUGUAAAGCCCUUUUGUUGGGAAAGAAAAGCAGCAGGUUAAUCCACCGCUGUUCUGACGGUACCCACAGAAUAAGCACCGGCUAACUUCGUG